GAUGAAGAACGUAGCGAAAUGCGAUAAGUAAUGUGAAUUGCAGAAUUCAGUGAAUCAUCGAAUCUUUGAACGCACAUUGCGCCCGCCAGUAUUCCGGGGGGCAUGCCUGUUCGAGCGUCAUUUCACCACUCAAGCCUCGCUUGGUAUUGGGCAACGCGGUCCGCCGCGUGCCUCAAAUCGACCGGCUGGGUCUUCUGUCCCCUAAGCGUUGUGGAAACUAUUCGCUAAAGGGUGUUCGGGAGGCUACGCCGUAAAACAACCCCAUUUCUAAGGUUGACCUCGGAUCAGGUAGGGAUACCCGCUGAACUUAAGCAUAUCAAUAAGCGGAGGA
RNAcentral lists this unclassified non-coding RNA (331 nucleotides) under soil metagenome. RNAcentral's name for it is "partial contains 5.8S ribosomal RNA, internal transcribed spacer 2, and large subunit ribosomal RNA". The stretch from base 1 to 120 matches the Rfam family "5.8S ribosomal RNA", at positions 35 to 154 of the family's 154-position model. The record is from RNAcentral.